GCUGGACACAGUGGUGCAUGCCUGUAAUCCCAGUGUUUUGGGAGGCUGAGACAGGAGGAUCACAAGUUCAAAGCCAGCCUCAGGGAUUUAGCCAGGUCCUAAGCAAUUUAGUAAGAUCCUGUCUUAA
Molecule: small RNA, 127 nt
Filed under: Marmota monax (woodchuck)
Lineage: Eukaryota; Metazoa; Chordata; Mammalia; Rodentia; Sciuridae
Source: RNAcentral